RNAcentral lists this ribosomal RNA (492 nucleotides) under uncultured bacterium. RNAcentral's name for it is "partial 16S ribosomal RNA". It matches the Rfam family "Bacterial small subunit ribosomal RNA", at positions 29 to 507 of the family's 1533-position model. The record is from RNAcentral.
AGUGAACGCUGGCGGUAGGCCUAACACAUGCCAGUCGAACGGCAGCACAGUAAGUUCUUGCUCUUACGGGUGGCGAGUGGCGGACGGGUGAGGAAUACAUCGGAAUCUACUUUUUCGUGGGGGAUAACGUAGGGAAACUUACGCUAAUACCGCAUACGACCUACGGGUGAAAUCAGGGGUUCUUCUGACCUUGCGCGUUUUUAUGUGCCGAUGUCGGAUUAGCUAGUUGGCGGGGUAAAGGCCCACCAAGGCGACGAUCCGUAGAUGGUCUGAGAGGAUGAUAAGACACACGGGAAGGGAGAAAGGGACAAGAGGACGACGGGAGGGAGCAGAGGGGAAUAGGGGACAAUGGGGGAAAGCAUGAUCCAGCAAGACCGAGUGGGAGAAGAAGGCCUUCGGGUUGUAAAGACCUUUUGUUGGGAAAGAAAAGCAGCAGGUUAAUACCACGCUGUUAUGACGGUACCCAAAGAAUAAGCACCGGCUAACUUCGUG